GUCUCCUUGUCCAGCUGGGCCAGGUGGGCAUCUCUGUAACUAUUAAGAUUCCUAAUUCUGUUUUUCUCUUCUCUAGCUUGGCUUGACCCCCUGGGAUUGACAUUACAUCAGACUUUCUAAUAAAACUCCACUCCUUUUUCCUAGAUAAACAGACUUCUGGCAUUUUCAUGCAUGAUUCAUAACUUUAUGUAAAUGCUCUGGCAAGCUGGAUGAAUGGACAUGAUCCAAUAAAGAUAUUGAGCCUGGUAAGUUCUUAAAGCUGUGCUCGAAUGGGAGGUGGCUGACACCAGGCAGGGGAUGCUCACUAGCAUCUUGAUAGUCUAGGGAUGAAGGCUAAACCACUGGAAGAGAAGAGAAAGAUAAGAGGUGGCUAGUUGGCAGUGAAGAGAUAGCAGAGUUUGGGGAGGUGGAGGUAUCAGGUGGUGGUGAGGGGUUUUGACAGAUGAGAGACUACAGGUGAAACUUUCAUCAGGGUCUGGAGCUUCCUGAAGACAAAGGCUAUUGGGGCCAACUGGGAUUUACUGAGCUUUAGCUAAUCCUGGGCUUGGAGAUACUCGGAUUACCUGUCUGGCCUAUUUGUUUGUGUGUUAUACAGAGAAUAAAACGCAGUAAAAGAGUGUUGAGAGCACAGAACUCCUCUGAAGUGGAAGGAUCCUUCUCACAGGAUGAAACCAUGUCUCACAUACUCCAGUAUUCUCAAAAGCCUAAUAUAGAACUGAGCAUGUACCAGAGCCUCAAUAUAUCUUUAUUUUUGUAAAUUAAAAAUUUAUACCGAUAUAUAAUGCAUAAGUGUGCC
RNAcentral lists this long non-coding RNA (796 nucleotides) under Sus scrofa (pig). RNAcentral's name for it is "lncRNA (ENSSSCG00065058386.1)". The record is from RNAcentral. Lineage: Eukaryota; Metazoa; Chordata; Mammalia; Artiodactyla; Suidae.